UAUACAGAAUGUUGAUAUAUUCGUGGACAUCUUUGGAGAGUGGAGUUUUUUCUUUUUAGAAUAGAAAGUUAAUUUAAAGGAAACAUAAAAAAUAUACAUAAAAAUAUCAAUUGAGAUUUAUUUGUUAAAUUAUAAAUCAUUUUGCAUAAAAGUUGUAAAACAAGAAUUUUACAAAAGUAAGAAUCUCCAAUAAGAAUGUAUUCAUUCGAAUACAUGUCUACGGAGAAUAUUAAACAUGGUUCAAUGGCCACUAUGAUUUCAGAAUUUCCAGAAUCAUGGAAGUCAAAUUGAAAUUUAUGCAACACUGAUUGCAUAGUAUUAGAAGGAUGGAACUAAAUAUAUCGACCUAAUAAUUUCUGCGUGGGCAAAUUGUACGUGUUGGAUAUCAAACGAGAAAUUAUAAUUUUGCCAAACGCCCUACAAUUUCGAUUCUAUUCAUUUUGGGUUCUUUGACCUUGAAGAUCGAAGAAAGUUAAUAACAAUGAAUGCAUUGUUAAUUGCAACUAAGAAUUUCGAAUUACUUUAACAAUUUCUCAUUUGAAAAUUAUGUUGGAAAUUAUAAUCAUGUGGAAUUAGAAUUUUAUUCAUUUUUCACGAAAUUAAUAAUAUUUUGUCAAACAUUAGUAAAGUUAAUUAAAUAUUUUAUGUUCUAUUAAUUUUAUUUUAUGAAUUAAUAAAAAUAUUAUGAUUUUAUGUUAUAAAAAUUUUUCUUUUUCUAUUUUUUAACAUUAAUGAAAAAAUCUUGAUUCUAUUGUUUAAUAAAGAAAUAGAUAUAAUUUUUUUUUAUAAGACUUUCUAAACUCGUUAACGCACUAUGUAAUUAAAUAUCUAAUUAAAA
This is a long non-coding RNA of Apis florea (little honeybee), 838 nucleotides long. NCBI's taxonomy places the organism in Eukaryota, Metazoa, Arthropoda, Insecta, Hymenoptera, Apidae. The record is from RefSeq and is a predicted model, not a curated record.